AAGACCUGAUUUGUAAAUAUUAGAAAUUUAAAAGUCAGCGUUCUUUAAUUUUUAUUUUUGUAUAGAUUUCAAAGAUUGAUUAACUAUUUUUAACCAUACCAUGAGCUGCAUCUUUCUUUCUCCGAUAUGGAAGCUUGGAAGGUCUCAUUGUGUUUCCCUAAACGUAACGACCUACAAAAAAAAAAAAAAAAUACAGUUAAUCAUUGUCCUAACAUGAAAUUACGUCUAUAAUAUCAUCUUUACUUGAUGUUCAAC
This 255-nucleotide long non-coding RNA is filed under the name Capsella rubella. RNAcentral describes it as "long non-coding RNA (CRUB_LNC004217)". The record is from RNAcentral. Lineage: Eukaryota; Viridiplantae; Streptophyta; Magnoliopsida; Brassicales; Brassicaceae.